RNAcentral lists this ribosomal RNA (253 nucleotides) under uncultured bacterium. Its description in RNAcentral is "partial 16S ribosomal RNA". It matches the Rfam family "Bacterial small subunit ribosomal RNA", at positions 524 to 776 of the family's 1533-position model. The record is from RNAcentral.
UACGUAGGGUGCAAGCGUUAAUCGGAAUUACUGGGCGUAAAGCGUGCGCAGGCGGUUAUGCAAGACAGAUGUGAAAUCCCCGGGCUCAACCUGGGAACUGCAUUUGUGACUGCAUGGCUGGAGUGCGGCAGAGGGGGAUGGAAUUCCGCGUGUAGCAGUGAAAUGCGUAGAUAUGCGGAAGAACACCCGUGGCGAAGGCGGCCAGCUGGGCCGUCCCUGACACUGAGGCGCGAAGGCGUGGGGAGCGAACGGG